UACAGAGGUCUCGAGCGUUGUUCGGAUUCACUGGGCGUAAAGGGCGCGUAGGCGGCUAGGUAAGUCGGAUGUGAAAUCCCGGGGCUCAACCCCGGAACUGCAUUCGAUACUGCCUGGCUAGAGUACUGGAGAGGAGAUUGGAAUUUACGGUGUAGCAGUGAAAUGCGUAGAUAUCGUAAGGAAGACCAGUGGCGAAGGCGGAUGUCUGGACAGUUACUGACACUGAGGCACGAAGGCCAGGGGAGCAAACGGG
This 253-nucleotide ribosomal RNA is filed under the name uncultured bacterium. RNAcentral's name for it is "partial 16S ribosomal RNA". It matches the Rfam family "Bacterial small subunit ribosomal RNA", at positions 524 to 776 of the family's 1533-position model. The record is from RNAcentral.